UACGGAGGGUGCGAGCGUUGUCCGGAAUUAUUGGGCGUAAAGAGCUUGUAGGCGGUUUGGCGCGUCUGCUGUGAAAAUCCGGGGCUCAACCCCGGACUUGCAGUGGGUACGGGCAGACUAGAGUGUGGUAGGGGAGACUGGAAUUCCUGGUGUAGCGGUGGAAUGCGCAGAUAUCAGGAGGAACACCGAUGGCGAAGGCAGGUCUCUGGGCCAUUACUGACACUGAGAAGCGAAAGCAUGGGGAGCGAACAGG
This 253-nucleotide ribosomal RNA is filed under the name uncultured bacterium. RNAcentral describes it as "partial 16S ribosomal RNA". It matches the Rfam family "Bacterial small subunit ribosomal RNA", at positions 524 to 776 of the family's 1533-position model. The record is from RNAcentral.